RNAcentral lists this transfer RNA (68 nucleotides) under Thalassiosira minuscula. The record is from RNAcentral. Lineage: Eukaryota; Bacillariophyta; Thalassiosirophyceae; Thalassiosirales; Thalassiosiraceae.
AUCCGGGCGGGGGUGUCGGGCGCUCUGGCAGGCCGCUUGCGGUAUUUUGACUCCCCGUUUGCUGUGUU